GGGGAGAAAGAGGUGAGAACGGGGAAAGAGAGAUGGGGAGAAAGAGGUGAGAUCAGGGAAAAAGAGGUGGGGGAGAAAGAGGUGAGAUCGGGUAAAGAGAGAUGCGGGAGAAAGAGGUGAGAACGGGAAAGAGAGAUGGGGAGAAAAAGGUGAGAACGAGGAAAGAGAGUUGGGGAGAAAGAGGUGAGAACGAGGAAAGAGAGGUAGGGGGAGAAAGAGGUGAGAACAGGGAAAGAGAGAUGGGGAGAAAGAGGUGAGAUCAGGGAAAAAGAGGUGGGGGAGAAAGAGGUGAGAGAAAGGGAAAGAGAGAUGGGGGAGAAAGAAGUGAGAACGGGGAAAGAGAGAUGGGGGAGAAAGAGGUGAGAUCAGGGAAAAAGAGGUGGGGGAGAAAGAGGUGAGAUCGGGUAAAGAGAGAUGCGGGAGAAAGAGGUGAGAACGGGGAAAGAGAGAUAGGGAGAAAAAGGUGAGAACGAGGAAAGAGAGUUGGGGGAGAAAGAGGUGAGAACGGGGAAAGAGAGAUGGGGAGAAAAAGAGAGAGACAGAGAAUGAGAGGUGGGGGAAAAGAGGUGAGAUAGGGGAAAGAGAGAUGGGGAGAAAGAGGUGAGAACGGGGAAAGAGAGGUGGGGGGAGAAAGAGGUGAGAACGGGGAAAGAGAGAUGGGGGAGAAAGAGGUGAGAUCAGGGAAAA
Molecule: long non-coding RNA, 687 nt
Organism: Oncorhynchus tshawytscha (Chinook salmon)
Lineage: Eukaryota; Metazoa; Chordata; Actinopteri; Salmoniformes; Salmonidae
Source: Ensembl